UUAUAUUGAUUACUACGGACUUCCGCAACAAAUUGCCAGAGGUUGGUUGAUCCAAAAUGGUUGCCGUUUGUUGUGCUUUCAGUGAUUUGUGAAACUUAUUUCAAUAAAUGUUUAUUAACGUAGGAGAUCGUGUAUGUGUGGUAUAAACUUAAAUAAUGGAUGAAAAAGAAUCUGUUCCCGAAACUCCUGGUGAGGAGACCAGUCAAGGUUCGGGGGACGGGUCAGACGUGGUGAAAUCUGAUGACACGGAGCCCGUUGAGUCUCAAGAUUCUCUGGAGCCAGCACCAGAACCUAGUGAUAAUGUUUCCUGUGACAAACCUGACAGUGAUGAUGUGGAAAAUAGUGAAUCUGAGCCUAAAGAAAGUGUGAGUGAACUUCAAAACCAUGUGGAUGAUAUGAGUGUUACAGAUACUGAAAAUGACUGUGAGAAGGAGGAGAGUGAAAAGACUAAUGAAGAUGAAACAGCAUCUAUGGAGACAGACACCCAGGAUACUAACAAAGAUGAUGUGAAUCAAGACGAAACACAACAAGAUGAAUCUGAAAGUAAUUUAGGAGACAAAUUAAAAGAUGAAGAUAAUAGUCAGGAUGCAAGUCAAGACUCGGAGAGUGUAGACACACAAGAACAAGCUGAGAAAGCAGACGGUGGUGAUGAAGAAACGGAGAAGGAAGAAAAGAGAGACGAUGAAGUUGGGAAGCCGGAGUUCGAAACUGCUCCUAAUAUUUCAAUGGAUGAACCGCAGGAGGAUCAUUCACAGGCCCUAGAUCCAUUUGACGCUCUAUUGAAAGACAAAACCGAUGCAUCCGUAUCGGACACAGCAACACCAACAACGUCACAAGCAGAGACAAUUAACGCAAUUGACGAUGAUGAUGAUGAUCAUAACACAGACCAAGUUGACGGUGAAGUGGAGGAUGAAGACACUACAAACACAGAAGAGCAACCGGAGCUGAUCGAUGAGCCCGGAGCAGAUGAAGAGGUGUGCCUGCUGCCGGACACUGAGCGGGAGAUCUCUGAGGCUGAUAAGGCUGAAGCCGAGAAAGUACUGGCUGAGAAACGUAAACAGGCUGAAGAAGCCGCCGCUUUAGCAGUAGAAGCGACCGUCCCCAAAGAGGAGAAUGAAGCGAUGGAUGGAGACUCGGCGAGCAAAGAAGACGGCGUCAACGAGAGCCACACGGAAGACGCAUCCACCGCCACCGAGGAUCCUUCCCAGGAAAAUGGCGCUGACAAAGAUAAUGAAAAUGAAAUUGAAAACGAGCAUGAGGAAAUAGUCGAAACAGAAGUGGCUGUAACAACAAAUGUGAUUCAAGAAGUGAAUCCAUAUCCAAGCAAAUGUGAGCAGUGUUACUUGGACCUCAAUUGCUAUUUUCGGUUUACAACUAAAGAUGGGGAUUACAGAUACUUGUGCACUGCAACCUGUACUAGCAAAUUCGUGGAAAAUAACCCACUUCAAUACACUGUGACGACUAAAAAAUAUCUCAUCGAAGAAAUAUUACCAAGAUUCUUGACAUGUUCCGAGUGUGAAGAAAAGAAAACUUGUUAUUUCUACUAUAAUUUUGAUGGAGAAGACACGAAUUACUGUUCUCUACAGUGCUUACACGGCAUGAUGGCAGAUGAGAAGGAUAAGUAUAUUUUCAAAAGGAGAAAGAUCAUCGUGGAAGAAACUGCGCCCAAGGAGGGAGAGUGCUUAGUUUGUAAGGAAACAAAGAAUUGUAAUUAUUGCAUGACGAGGUAUGGAGAGUUUAGUUUAAUAUGUGAUCAUGGCUGCAUAAAACAACUCAAUUUGAGCGAAAGCGGAAGGUACGUGAUAAAGAGGAAGAGGAGUUGCAGGAGAGCAACCCCGGCAGCGCCAACUAACCCGCCACUGCUCAAAUUGAAAGUUAUAAGUAACGCAACAGAUAAAUAUUUGGAUGAAGCAUAUAAAAUUCAAGCGAAAACCCCGGCGAUGGUGCAAGCCGCGCGCGACGAGAGAGAACGCAGCUUCACGCGAAAGUGCACUCAAUGUGUCAUGCUGCUCACCAGCGAAGAGAAACUCUUGACGUGGGAGACCAUGGAUUUCUGCGACGAAGUUUGCCUUGGCCAGUACCAGAAUAAAAUUGGGUCUAGAUGCGCUAACUGCAAAAACCCGGUUCAGCAUACAAGUUUAGGGAAGUACUGUGUUAGGUUCGGAUACGAUAUACGGCAGUUUUGUAACUCGGGCUGUUUGGAAGAGUUCAAGAAAGGGUUGAAGAUAUGCUGCUACUGCCAGAGGGAUAUUUCGGCGGGUCUGCAAGGGUUCUUGGCGCCGGUGGGCGACAAGGGACAGUUCAAAGACUUUUGCUCGCAGACUUGUAUGGAGAAGUUUGAUCAGAUGAGCAAAAAUCCGAUUCCGCAGCCGAUUUGGGCGAAGUGCGCGGUCUGUUCGAUAGAGAAGGCGACGUCGAUCGAGGUGGAAGUGAGUGAGCAAGUCAAUCAGCGGUUAUGUUCCGAUCCAUGUUUUGCAGCUUUUAAAUUCGUCAAUAAUAUAUUCCCAGAUCAAUGCAGAUGGUGCAAAAAGUACUUCGAGCGCAAAGCCAACAAAUGUUUCACGAUAUACGACAACAACACUCCCAACUGUUUCUGCUCCAAGUCUUGUAUGAACGUCUACAUCAGCAACUCCAGGCACAUAGUCCCAUGCAACUGGUGUAAAGUAAAGAAAUACAACUUCGACAUGAUCAGGAAACAACAGGCCAAUGCGCAGCCUGUGAUGAUGUGCUCGCUGAAUUGUCUCAACCUGUAUCAGGUUUCCGUCAAUGCAGUCUCCUCGAAAAGAACUAAGUGCGACAUGUGCAAGCGGACUGCUCUCGCGCAAUACCACUUGACGAUGUCGGACGCGACGGUGCGGAAUUUCUGCACGUACCAGUGUGUCAUGGGCUUCCAGGGUCAAUACUCAAAGCACACGCCGCCGUUGAUGCCCGGCGAAUCCAUCGACCAGCAAAAGGCGGUGCCUACGGGAGUCCCGCGCCGCACCUACACCGCUCCCGCUAACAAUAAGACUAAUGCAACAAAAGGUCAACAGCGAGCAAGUGGCGGUAUGCCAGUGAUCUCAAAUGUCCAAUCUCUCGCCGCGCCGCCGCCUCUAAUGCCCUCCGUUACCCGCGGCAAGUCCAAGCGCCUCGCCGUGGCCCAGCCCCCGCCCGAACCGGAGCCCCCCGCUGCCCCCAAAACCCCGCCUCCCCCUCCCAAACCCCCAACCCCCCCGCCACCUCCACCCCCCAAAGUCUACAACCACGUCAUCGUCAAAACGCUCCCCCCUAAAGAAGUGGCGAACAAAGGAACCAUGUCGAAACCGAUGAUGGUAUCCAAAGGCAUCUCCUGCCGGCCGCAUCCGUGCACAAAAGAGUGUCAAACGGACCCCAGCCUAGAACGGCGAGUUCUGAUCCCGGUGCCAGUUCCUAUAUACGUCCCCGUGCCUUGCGCGAUGUGGUCGCUUCCGUUCCCCGUUCCCGUUCCGAUCCCCAUUCCAAUUCCAACGCCGGUGUUUAUUCCGACCACGCGGAACUCCGCUAAAGGCAUCAUGAAGGAGAUCAACAAGAUCCACGAUAAGAUGCCGACGGAUCCGUUCGAGGCUGAGCUGCUGAUGAUGGCUGAGAUGGUGGCUGGAGACAAGAAGAAGGAUCAAAGUGAUUCGGACACGGACGACGAUAACGCCGAGGAAACCUUCAGCCCAGUAGCGGGCAUGGACGGCAACAACGCGUUCGGCGAGGACAUGCUGCAGAUGGCCCUGAAGAUGGCCACCGAGUACGAGGAGCAGCCCGUCGACCUGGAGUCCGCCAUGACGGCCAACACCAUCACGCCCAGCUCGCAUCCCGGCAUGCCUGGUCUGGAAGGCGAGAGCAUGCACCACCACCACAUGAUGGUACUAGAGCAGCAACGCGCGGUAGCGGCGCUCCGCUCGGGCUGCGCGGGCGCCGCUCGCAAGAGGCCGCCGCCGCCCGCGCCCGCGCGGCCCGCGCGCUCGUCCAAGCGCCGCCGCGCCGAGCCCGCGCCGCCGCCGCCUGACCCGCCGCGCGAGCCCGCUGAGAAGCCCGACGCUAAUAUGUGUCUCAAGUACACAUUCGGCGUCAACGCGUGGAAGCAGUGGGUGAUGACUAAAAACGCUGAAAUAGAAAAGAGCUCGAUUCGACGGAAACCUUUCAAAUCGGAGAUCCUUCAGCUCACGGCAGACGAGUUAAAUUACUCGCUCUGCCUGUUUGUCAAGGAGGUGCGCAAGCCUAACGGAAGCGAGUACGCGCCCGACACUAUUUAUUACUUGGUAUUAGGAAUUCAACAAUAUCUCUUUGAAAAUGGUAGGAUAGACAACAUAUUUACGGAUCCAUAUUACGAAAAGUUUACGGAUUGUUUGGACGAAGUAGCAAGAAAGUUCUCAGUUUUAUAUAACGAUUCACAAUACAUAGUCACGCGAGUAGAAGAGGAGCACUUAUGGGAAAGCAAGCAAUUAGGAGCGCAUUCGCCGCACGUGCUGCUAUCGACGCUAAUGUUCUUCAACACGAAACACUUUAACUUAGUGACAGUAGAAGAACACAUGCAGCUAUCCUUCUCGCACAUAAUGAAGCAUUGGAAGAGGAACCCCAACCAGCCGGGCCAGACGAAGGUGCCCGGCUCUAGAAAUGUACUGUUAAGGUUCUACCCGCCGCAGUCGGCGCUAGAAGCAAACUCAAGAAAAAAGAAAGUUUAUGAGCAGCAAGAAAAUGAAGAGAAUCCCCUAAGAUGUCCAGUUAAAUUAUAUGAAUUUUACAUUUCAAAAUGUCCAGAGUCAGUGCGCACGCGCAACGACGUGUUCUACCUACAACCGGAGCGCUCGUGCGUGCCCGACUCGCCCGUGUGGUACUCCACGCAGCCGCUCAGCCGCACCGCGCUCGCCAAGAUGCUGCACCGCGUCAAGAUGGUCAAGGAGAUCAACAUCGCGCUGCUCACCAGCUAAGAUUCCACUUGACCGCCAUUUGGUAUUGAAGACAGCGCAACAAUUCGACGCAAGAUCACAAUAAUAAUAUAUUUUCCGCCGAAGUUGAGUUACUGGCAGCAGCGCCCGCCGGCCUGCGGUCCUUUACCAGUAAACGCAUACCGCAGUCACCUUAUUGUUGUAAAGAUGGUAACAGUGUAUAUUUUUUCUACUUUGUAUAUCGGUCUGCGUACGGACGGUCGAACAUUACCUAAUUUUAAUACAUAGUCUAUAAUAGAUGUCUUUUUUUAUAAUGUUGCAAUGUUUUAGACUAAGAUUUCUGUGCGGGACCGUUUAUGUAUGUACAGUUUAUAUGGUUCUAGUACUUUCAUUUAAGAAAACUGAUGUUUUAUCUAAUUUAUCAUGCUAUGUCAAAUUUUAUCGGCAUAUUUAGAGAAAUAUAAUGAAUUUAUUUAAAUUGUUUCAAAUUAGCAGUUUGCUACAUUAUUUUCGAUCAGAUUGUAUAUACGCCAAGCGACUUGCACGCAUAUAGAAUUUUUUAUUUUUCAUAAUGCAUAGUACAUAUUUUGUCAUUGAAGGAUGUUUGUGACAUAACUUUCCUCAGUGCCAGCUCGAAAGGAUUAUAAUGUAUAAUAUUACACUCGUGUAAUACUUAAAUAUUAAUAAUACAUAGGCUAGAAUGUAAGCGAAGAAAUUCCAGGUUUUUAGUGGAAGGCGCACUUUUUUGUUAUAGUAGCAUUAUUCAUUUUAUAAAUCGGGGAAGCAGUUUAUAAUAUUCUCAACAAAUAGAAGUUUUUAUUAAAAAUAAUAUA
RNA transcript from Ostrinia furnacalis (Asian corn borer), 5728 nucleotides. It is a transcript of the gene named zinc finger protein without children, with no coding region annotated. The transcript has 21 exons. The record is from RefSeq and is a predicted model, not a curated record. Lineage: Eukaryota; Metazoa; Arthropoda; Insecta; Lepidoptera; Crambidae.